CGGCGGACGGGUGAGUAAUGCUUAGGAAUCUGCCUAUUAGUGGGGGACAACAUCUCGAAAGGGAUGCUAAUACCGCAUACGUCCUACGGGAGAAAGCAGGGGACCUUCGGGCCUUGCGCUAAUAGAUGAGCCUAAGUCGGAUUAGCUAGUUGGUGGGGUAAAGGCCUACCAAGGCGACGAUCUGUAGCGGGUCUGAGAGGAUGAUCCGCCACACUGGGACUGAUACACGGCCCAG
RNAcentral lists this ribosomal RNA (235 nucleotides) under uncultured Pseudomonadales bacterium. RNAcentral describes it as "partial 16S ribosomal RNA". It matches the Rfam family "Bacterial small subunit ribosomal RNA", at positions 96 to 334 of the family's 1533-position model. Lineage: Bacteria; Pseudomonadati; Pseudomonadota; Gammaproteobacteria; Pseudomonadales. The record is from RNAcentral.